AACGAACGCUGGUGGCGUGCUUAACACAUGCAAGUCGAACGAGAAAAUUUCCUUCGGGAAAUUAGUAAAGUGGCGCAAGGGUGAGUAUCACGUGAAUAAUCUGCCCUCGAGAUCGGGAUAACAUGGUGAAAACUAUGCUAAUACCGGAUAAGACCACAUUUCAUAAGAAAUGCGGUAAAAGGAGUCUCAAUCUUCACUCGAGGAUGAGUUCGCGCAACAUUAGCUUGUUGGUGAGAUAAAAGCUCACCAAGGCUACGAUGUUUAGCCGGCCUGAGAGGGUGAACGGCCACACUGGAACUGAGACACGGUCCAGACUCCUACGGGAGGCAGCAGUGGGGAAUAUUGCGCAAUGGGCGAAAGCCUGACGCAGCGAUGCCGCGUGAGUGAAG
This 389-nucleotide ribosomal RNA is filed under the name uncultured Nitrospina sp. RNAcentral's name for it is "bacterial SSU rRNA". It matches the Rfam family "Bacterial small subunit ribosomal RNA", at positions 29 to 410 of the family's 1533-position model. Lineage: Bacteria; Pseudomonadati; Nitrospinota; Nitrospinia; Nitrospinales; Nitrospinaceae. The record is from RNAcentral.